RNAcentral lists this ribosomal RNA (457 nucleotides) under uncultured bacterium. Its description in RNAcentral is "partial 16S ribosomal RNA". It matches the Rfam family "Bacterial small subunit ribosomal RNA", at positions 338 to 795 of the family's 1533-position model. The record is from RNAcentral.
CCUACGGGGGGCAGCAGUGGGGAAUAUUGCACAAUGGGGGAAACCCUGAUGCAGCGACGCCGCGUGAGUGAAGAAGUAAUUCGUUACGUAAAGCUCUAUCAGCAGGGAAGAACACUGACCUUACGGUCAGCAGACGGUACCUGAGUAAGAAGCCCCGGCUAACUACGUGCCAGCAGCCGCGGUAAUACGUAGGGGGCAAGCGUUAUCCGGAUUUACUGGGUGUAAAGGGAGCGUAGACGGCCAGACAAGUCAGAAGUGAAAGCCCAGGGCUCAACCCUGGGACUGCUUUUGAAACUGCCGGGCUGGAGUGCAGGAGAGGUAAGCGGAAUUCCUAGUGUAGCGGUGAAAUGCGUAGAUAUUAGGAGGAACACCAGUGGCGAAGGCGGCUUACUGGACUGUAACUGACGUUGAGGCUCGAAAGCGUGGGGAGCAAACAGGAUUAGAUACCCUAGUAGUC